UACGAGGGGGGCAAGUGUUGUUCGGAAUCACUGGGCGUAAAGGGCGCGUAGGCGGGUUUCUAAGUCAGGUGUUUAAUCCCGGGGCCCAACCCCGGACAGGCACUUGAAACUGGGAAUCUUGAAUAGUGGAGAGGUCAGUGGAAUUGGAGGUGUAGCGGUGGAAUGCGUAGAGAUCUCCAAGAACACCAGUUGCGAAGGCGGCUGACUGGACACAUAUUGACGCUGAGGAACGAAAGCUAGGGGAGCAAACAGG
Molecule: ribosomal RNA, 253 nt
Filed under: uncultured bacterium
Lineage: Bacteria
Description: partial 16S ribosomal RNA
Rfam family: Bacterial small subunit ribosomal RNA
Source: RNAcentral